Ahaetulla prasina is the source of this 1702-nucleotide RNA transcript. It is a transcript of the gene named F-box protein 48, with no coding region annotated. The transcript is spliced from 6 exons. NCBI's taxonomy places the organism in Eukaryota, Metazoa, Chordata, Lepidosauria, Squamata, Colubridae. The record is from RefSeq and is a predicted model, not a curated record.
AACCUCUGGUUACGUAAUUUGGAAUUGGGGAAAGGAACAAGCAAACAAAAAAGUAAAUAAACAAAUUCGAAUGGAGAAGCCGUUAAAGCCGUUGGCGGAAACAGAGGGCCGGGAGCCAGAAAGGUUGAUUGGUAUUUAAAUAAAGUCUGAACUAUGAAAAAAGGGUCUAAACAGAAAUCCUCUAAACAAAACCAGCAGACUGAUGCAACAACUACUUGUAAGAAAUUGUUCUUUAAAUCUUCCAAACAGAAGAAACACAACAGUCAAGGGGAUUUUGUGAAACUAUUUCCACUAGAAGUUAACAUAAAGAUUUUUAGCAAACUUGACAUUCACAGCUUGUGCAAUGCCGCAAUAACUUGCAAGAGCUGGAACCAAACCAUUGAGCAUUGUGAUGAUUUAUGGAAACAACAUUGUUUAAAUAUAAGAGCGGUCUGUCAGCGAGAGGUUGAUGGUGACAGAGGAAAAGGGUACUCAUGGAAGGUCACGCUGCAUAGAAACUACUGGAAAAGCAAAGUAAAGUAUGAAUGGCUGAGUGGAAAAUAUAGCAAUAUUCAGUCACGGAGUAAUUUGCCAGAAAAAUGUAUGUACCCUAUGGAUGUAGAUACCUGGGGAGAAAUCUUGGAAGCUGAACUGGAAAGAGUUUUAUACAGAGGAAAUUAGAGAAGAGGAAAUUUAACAACCGGCUCAGAGAACUGGAUGUACAGUAAAUCUAGACUUCUCAAUUCCAGGCCUGCCUUCUGAUGCAUAUUUCUUGCUUCAAAAGCAGUUUGGGUCCUCAUUUUACCCACCUUGGAAGGAUGGAAGGCUGAGUCAGCCUUGAGCCUGGCGGGAUUUGAACUGGAAAAUUGCAAGCAGCCAACAGGCAGCAGAAGUAGCUUGGUACCACACACUAACCACUGCGCCACCAAGAUUCAUUCACCCAUCCAUACCCACCUCAACAUCUGUUUCUCAAUCCUGUGGACAGCUUAAAUUCUUAUGCCUGAAAGAACAUGUAGGAAUAGAUCAACACUUCCAAACAAUGGUUUUGUCUAGAUCUGUGCUCCCUGGCUUGCACGACAUCCACCAUUUUAAAUUGUUGAGGUUGACAAACACUCAUGAUUACAUCCAUAAUCUGCAUUGGAACAAGGUUUGAGUGUAAUAAGAAAUUAAUAUUCUUCCAGUUAUUAAUAUUCGGUAUUAUCUCAAGCAAACCUCCUUGUGCCAAGUUUUCCAAACAUCUCUUUAAACUCGGGAGAGAAAUGUGAAGUAACUCAACUUUCAACUUAGGAAGCAACAGAAAGCUGGAGAUGACGAUCUGUGAUGUGAUAAGAAAAAAAGAUAGCUACUUCACCUGAUUGAAGUUGGCUCAGAACUGCUGCCAAAAGAAGUGUUUAAGCUCCCCAAGAACAAGAAUACAGGGGAGGGGGACACCCUUUUAUUUUUCUGAGACCAGAAAAUAUAUAAGGUAUGCUUUUAAUUCCAGCUUGUUGAUAUAGAAAAAUUAGGAAUUUGGAUGGCAAGUUUCAACAGAGAACAAUUCAAGUAGCUGCUUCUGUAGCGGCCUCAUAAAAAUAAAGCUUUUGAAAUAGAAGUAUUUUCCCACAUCCCACUUAUAUAAGCAAUGCUUAGCUUUGGAACGCACCUCAGAUUGAUGGUUUCAGGAAGCCUGAUAGAUUUCUUCGUUGAUUUCCUGGAAAACCUUUGCCCUCCCAAAAUGCACUUG